GGGGCCGUAGCUCAAUUGGUUAGAGUACCGGACUGUCGAUCCGGGGGUUGAGGGUUCAAGUCCCUUCGGCCUCGCCU
Molecule: transfer RNA, 77 nt
Filed under: Planctomycetaceae bacterium
Lineage: Bacteria; Pseudomonadati; Planctomycetota; Planctomycetia; Planctomycetales; Planctomycetaceae
Description: tRNA-Asp
Rfam family: tRNA
About the family: Transfer RNA (tRNA) molecules are approximately 80 nucleotides in length.
Source: RNAcentral